This is a non-coding RNA of Caenorhabditis elegans, 21 nucleotides long. The record is from Ensembl. NCBI's taxonomy places the organism in Eukaryota, Metazoa, Nematoda, Chromadorea, Rhabditida, Rhabditidae.
UUCAUUCGAAAUAACAAUUAG